RNAcentral lists this ribosomal RNA (464 nucleotides) under uncultured bacterium. Its description in RNAcentral is "partial 16S ribosomal RNA". It matches the Rfam family "Bacterial small subunit ribosomal RNA", at positions 338 to 795 of the family's 1533-position model. The record is from RNAcentral.
CCUACGGGUGGCAGCAGUAGGGAAUUUUCGUCAAUGGGCGCAAGCCUGAACGAGCAAUGCCGCGUGAACGAGGAAGGUCUUCGGAGCGUUAAGUUCCGUUGAAGGGGAAAAAGAGCGGAGAGAGGAAAUGCUUUCUGAUUGAUAUUACCCUUCGAGGACGUCACGGCUCACUACGUGCCAGCAGCCGCGGUAAUACGUAGGUGGCGAGGGUUAGCCGGAAUGAUUGGGCGAAAGGGGUGCGUAGGCGGCCUGCUAAGUCUGGAGGGAAAGGUGCCGGCUCAACCGGUACAGGCUCUGGAAACUGGCGGGCUAGAGAGCAGGAGAGGGCGGUGGAACUCCAGGUGUAGCGGUAAAAUGCGUAGAUAUCUGGAAGAACACCAGUGGCGAAGGCGGCCGCCUGGCCUGUUACUGACGCUGAGGCACGAAAGCGUGGGGAGCAAAUAGGAUUAGAUACCCGAGUAGUC